CCUACGGGAGGCAGCAGUGAGGAAUAUUGGUCAAUGGCCGGAAGGCUGAACCAGCCAUGCCGCGUGAAGGUCAGUGCCCUUUGGGCGUUAAACUUCUUUUGUGCGGGAGCAAUAAUGGUCACGUGUGGCCAGACGAGAGUACCGUACGAAUAAGCAUCGGCUAACUCCGUGCCAGCAGCCGCGGUAAUACGGGGGAUGCAAGCGUUAUCCGGAUUUAUUGGGUUUAAAGGGUGCGUAGGCUGUGAGGUAAGUCAGCGGGGAAAUGCCCCCGCUCAACGGGGUGAAGUGCCAUUGAUACUGCCUUGCUGGAAUGCGGAUGCGGUGGGAGGAAGGUGUGGUGUAGCGGUGAAAUGCAUAGAUAUCACACAGAACACCGAUUGCGAAGGCAUCUCACGAAUCCGCGAUUGACGCUGAUGCACGAAAGCGUGGGUAUCAAACAGGAUUAGAUACCCGUGUAGUC
This 460-nucleotide ribosomal RNA is filed under the name uncultured bacterium. RNAcentral's name for it is "partial 16S ribosomal RNA". It matches the Rfam family "Bacterial small subunit ribosomal RNA", at positions 338 to 795 of the family's 1533-position model. The record is from RNAcentral.